Molecule: long non-coding RNA, 645 nt
Organism: Thalassophryne amazonica
Lineage: Eukaryota; Metazoa; Chordata; Actinopteri; Batrachoidiformes; Batrachoididae
Exons: 3
Source: RefSeq, a predicted model, not a curated record
UAGUUAAAAUAUGGUGUAGAUGAUGGAACAGUGUAGGAUGCUGAGUGAUUUCUUAUCCAGAACAUGUUUUGCUUUUUUUAACACUGAAAUGCUUCUUGAUAAUUUGUUUUGUAUAUGAUGUGUGGUUUCCAACUGAUUUUCCCAUCUGUUAUUGCCCCAAGAAAUUUAUUUUCAUUAAUCCUUUCAAUCUGACUCCUAUCUGUAUUUAUACCUGCUCAUUCCUUCUGCAGUUCCCAAAGAACAUCAGUUUUGUUUUAAGUUUAAUGACUAUUUGUUUUGGUCAAAACGUAUUCUCAGUUUGUUCAUGUCUUCAGUGAUUUCCUCCUGAACUAUCUGCCAAGCUCAAAAUCGUCUGCAUCCUGGUUAAGAGCAGAAUACUACUAGAGGAGUGAUUUUGAAUCAGGAAAGUUGAAUCAGAAAAAUUGGGUGCUGCACUCACUGGAAUGUAUUGUUUGGAAUAGCCCCAGAUUGCAUUUCAGAGCUUGUAGAAUUCAAAAAUCUUGGCGGUAGUUUUAAGUUUCUUCAGGUUUUGAUUUUAUUCAUUAAUUUUGUCAUCAUCCCUUGUGAGAGAAAAAAACCCACAUACAGUCUGAGAUUUGUUCCUUCUGUUUCUGUGCUCAUUUUACAAAAUAGUUUUUGUACAUU